CCUACGGGCGGCAGCAGUGGGGAAUAUUGGACAAUGGGGGGAACCCUGAUCCAGCCAUGCCGCGUGUGUGAAGAAGGCCCUCGGGUUGUAAAGCACUUUCAGUGAGGAAGAACGCCUGGUGGUUAAUACCCAUCAGGAAAGACAUCACUCACAGAAGAAGCACCGGCUAACUCCGUGCCAGCAGCCGCGGUAAUACGGAGGGUGCGAGCGUUAAUCGGAAUUACUGGGCGUAAAGCGCGCGUAGGUGGCUUGAUAAGCCGGUUGUGAAAGCCCCGGGCUCAAACUGGGAACGGCAUCCGGAACUGUCAAGCUAGAGUGCAGGAGAGGAAGGUAGAAUUCCCGGUGUAGCGGUGAAAUGCGUAGAGAUCGGGAGGAAUACCAGUGGCGAAGGCGGCCUUCUGGACUGACACUGACACUGAGGUGCGAAAGCGUGGGUAGCAAACAGGAUUAGAUACCCCGGUAGUC
RNAcentral lists this ribosomal RNA (465 nucleotides) under Vreelandella stevensii. Its description in RNAcentral is "partial 16S ribosomal RNA". It matches the Rfam family "Bacterial small subunit ribosomal RNA", at positions 338 to 795 of the family's 1533-position model. Lineage: Bacteria; Pseudomonadati; Pseudomonadota; Gammaproteobacteria; Oceanospirillales; Halomonadaceae. The record is from RNAcentral.